GAAUAUUGUGCUAGGUUUUGGGGGGCGCAGUGAUGCGGGGAAAACAAGGACACCAGGCAUGGUACCUGCCACUGAACCCAGUUGGGUAUCAAAGGCUCACAUGCACAGAAUACAUGAGGAAGAUGACUGGCCGGCGCCCUCGGAGCUGCGGGAGGUCAGAGGCGCCGCCUGUGGCUUGGGAAGACAGCGUGGAGGAGGGGCAGAUGAUGUCAUUCUCAUUUCAUGGUCAAAGACUCCAAAACUCAGAGAGGCUGCGACCUGUGACUGACAGCUGCUCUACACCCGGGGCCAAGACUCCUAGCACAGUGCUCAUUCUGCUCACCCCUCUCACCUCCUGCAAGCCCCACGUGACCCGCUGUGUGAUGGUGUCAACAUUUCUUCCUGCCUCCUUGUCUAUGCACUAAAUUAGGGGAGGAGGGAGAGGCUAAGGUUCUCCGCUCUGUUAUUCUUGGACCAAGUCUUUGGUCAGAGGGAGGCAGUGCUUGAUAAAUGUUAAAAUGCCUCAUCAGUUCAGCCCAAUGCCCUAAGCCAGGGGAGAAGAGGCUACAGCAUGUUGUUUCUGCUUGAAAGAGGGUAAUACUGAGUGCAAGUCACCAAAGGGCUGCCUCUAAUCCCCAUGCAUGCACGUAACCAGUGCCCCAACCCAGAACUGCUCAGGACUCUCAGAAAAGAGUUUGUUGAAGAAAACACUUCUUCAAUGAGAUUGAGUGUAAUGAAAAUGCUUGAAAAUGGAAUGCAACUCCCAAGAAUGAUCGAUUGACCAGAAGCUGACCAGAAACGG
Long non-coding RNA from Bos taurus (domestic cattle), 781 nucleotides. The record is from Ensembl. Lineage: Eukaryota; Metazoa; Chordata; Mammalia; Artiodactyla; Bovidae.